This 200-nucleotide ribosomal RNA is filed under the name uncultured eukaryote. RNAcentral's name for it is "partial 18S ribosomal RNA". It matches the Rfam family "Eukaryotic small subunit ribosomal RNA", at positions 588 to 798 of the family's 1831-position model. The record is from RNAcentral.
GCUCCAAUAGCGUAUAUUUAAGUUGUUGCAGUUAAAAAGCUCGUAGUUGGAUUUCGGUUGAGAGCGGCCGGUCCGCCGUUUGGUGUGCACUGGCUGGUUUCAGCUUCCUGCAGAGGACGCGCUCUGGGCUUAAUCGUCUGGACGUGGAGUCUGCGUGGUUACUUUGAAAAAUUAGAGUGUUCAAGCGGGCUUACGCUUGA